This 1554-nucleotide ribosomal RNA is filed under the name Escherichia coli. RNAcentral describes it as "bacterial SSU rRNA". It matches the Rfam family "Bacterial small subunit ribosomal RNA". The record is from RNAcentral. Lineage: Bacteria; Pseudomonadati; Pseudomonadota; Gammaproteobacteria; Enterobacterales; Enterobacteriaceae.
AAAUUGAAGAGUUUGAUCAUGGCUCAGAUUGAACGCUGGCGGCAGGCCUAACACAUGCAAGUCGAACGGUAACAGGAAGCAGCUUGCUGCUUUGCUGACGAGUGGCGGACGGGUGAGUAAUGUCUGGGAAACUGCCUGAUGGAGGGGGAUAACUACUGGAAACGGUAGCUAAUACCGCAUAACGUCGCAAGACCAAAGAGGGGGACCUUCGGGCCUCUUGCCAUCGGAUGUGCCCAGAUGGGAUUAGCUAGUUGGUGGGGUAACGGCUCACCAAGGCGACGAUCCCUAGCUGGUCUGAGAGGAUGACCAGCCACACUGGAACUGAGACACGGUCCAGACUCCUACGGGAGGCAGCAGUGGGGAAUAUUGCACAAUGGGCGCAAGCCUGAUGCAGCCAUGCCGCGUGUAUGAAGAAGGCCUUCGGGUUGUAAAGUACUUUCAGCGGGGAGGAAGGGAGUAAAGUUAAUACCUUUGCUCAUUGACGUUACCCGCAGAAGAAGCACCGGCUAACUCCGUGCCAGCAGCCGCGGUAAUACGGAGGGUGCAAGCGUUAAUCGGAAUUACUGGGCGUAAAGCGCACGCAGGCGGUUUGUUAAGUCAGAUGUGAAAUCCCCGGGCUCAACCUGGGAACUGCAUCUGAUACUGGCAAGCUUGAGUCUCGUAGAGGGGGGUAGAAUUCCAGGUGUAGCGGUGAAAUGCGUAGAGAUCUGGAGGAAUACCGGUGGCGAAGGCGGCCCCCUGGACGAAGACUGACGCUCAGGUGCGAAAGCGUGGGGAGCAAACAGGAUUAGAUACCCUGGUAGUCCACGCCGUAAACGAUGUCGACUUGGAGGUUGUGCCCUUGAGGCGUGGCUUCCGGAGCUAACGCGUUAAGUCGACCGCCUGGGGAGUACGGCCGCAAGGUUAAAACUCAAAUGAAUUGACGGGGGCCCGCACAAGCGGUGGAGCAUGUGGUUUAAUUCGAUGCAACGCGAAGAACCUUACCUGGUCUUGACAUCCACGGAAGUUUUCAGAGAUGAGAAUGUGCCUUCGGGAACCGUGAGACAGGUGCUGCAUGGCUGUCGUCAGCUCGUGUUGUGAAAUGUUGGGUUAAGUCCCGCAACGAGCGCAACCCUUAUCCUUUGUUGCCAGCGGUCCGGCCGGGAACUCAAAGGAGACUGCCAGUGAUAAACUGGAGGAAGGUGGGGAUGACGUCAAGUCAUCAUGGCCCUUACGACCAGGGCUACACACGUGCUACAAUGGCGCAUACAAAGAGAAGCGACCUCGCGAGAGCAAGCGGACCUCAUAAAGUGCGUCGUAGUCCGGAUUGGAGUCUGCAACUCGACUCCAUGAAGUCGGAAUCGCUAGUAAUCGUGGAUCAGAAUGCCACGGUGAAUACGUUCCCGGGCCUUGUACACACCGCCCGUCACACCAUGGGAGUGGGUUGCAAAAGAAGUAGGUAGCUUAACCUUCGGGAGGGCGCUUACCACUUUGUGAUUCAUGACUGGGGUGAAGUCGUAACAAGGUAACCGUAGGGGAACCUGCGGUUGGAUCACCUCCUUACCUUAAAGAAGC